RNAcentral lists this ribosomal RNA (721 nucleotides) under uncultured Agaricomycetes. RNAcentral's name for it is "eukaryotic LSU rRNA". The stretch from base 251 to 404 matches the Rfam family "5.8S ribosomal RNA". The record is from RNAcentral. Lineage: Eukaryota; Fungi; Basidiomycota; Agaricomycetes.
CUUGGUCAUUUAGAGGAAGUAAAAGUCGUAAUAAGGUUUCCGUAGGUGAACCUGCGGAAGGACCAUUAAUGAAUUUAGGAGGUUUGCUGUGCCGUCUUCACGGAAUUGUGCACGCUUACCUCUAUAAUCCUUAUCAACACCUGUGCACCUUUCUAGGGAGAACGAUAGGUUUCACGACCUAUCAUGACCUCUAUAUACACACUCUUUAUGUCAAUGAAUGUUACUUGGCCGAAAGGCUAGAAUUAUAAACAACUUUUAACAACGGAUCUCUUGGCUCUCGCAUCGAUGAAGAACGCAGCGAAAUGCGAUAAGUAAUGUGAAUUGCAGAAUUCAGUGAAUCAUCGAAUCUUUGAACGCACCUUGCGCUCCCUGGUAUUCCGGGGAGCACGCCUGUUCGAGUGUUAUGAAACUAUCAAGAAAAAUUGGCUUUAUUGUUGAUUUUGGUUGGAUUUGAACUUUGACGUUGAUCUAGGUAGAGGGUUACUCCUCUGCUCUGUAAUACGACUAGUUUUAAAAGUAUAAGCAGGCUCUGGUUUUUUAAUUACCAUGGUUCUACUCAGCGUGAUAAUUAUCUAUCGUUGAGGACACUUUUAUUAGUGGCCAUGGUCCCAAGAGUUGCUCUCUAAUCUCUGUGAUCAGUUGCAAAACUGAUUUCAUUCAUAUCUGACCUCGAAUCAGGUGGGACUACCCGCUGAACUUAAGCAUAUCAAUAAGCGGAGGA